UUCAGAAGCGAGAAGGCAUUUAUUUCUGCACACUUCCAGGAGAUCCUGCUGAAUUCAUUUUAUUGGGGCUAUUUCUGAUUGCAGAUUUCUCACAUGGACACCUGCAGUUGCCGAACCAAUCUAUCAACCAAAGAGUUCCGAGGACAGAGAGAUGGAUGAAUGCUAGUUAAUCCAAGAUGACUACAAUGAAAAGAUUUUUAUUUGGAUCCUGAAGUGGAAAGAAGGAUAAAGAAGAAAGGAAGGAAACUAGCAUCUACUAAGUACAAUAUUAAGUUGGCUUCUUCAUAUACUUUAUCACAUCAAUCCUUACAAUAAUUCUGUGUGUUUGGUAAUAAAUUGAACCAUAUAAAUAUGGUUUUGUAAAUU
RNAcentral lists this long non-coding RNA (366 nucleotides) under Vulpes vulpes (red fox). Its description in RNAcentral is "lncRNA (ENSVVUG00000004870.1)". Lineage: Eukaryota; Metazoa; Chordata; Mammalia; Carnivora; Canidae. The record is from RNAcentral.